This is a long non-coding RNA of Aphis gossypii (cotton aphid), 666 nucleotides long. RefSeq lists it as uncharacterized. The transcript is spliced from 2 exons. The record is from RefSeq and is a predicted model, not a curated record. Lineage: Eukaryota; Metazoa; Arthropoda; Insecta; Hemiptera; Aphididae.
UAUCCAAUACUCAAUAGUCAUUAUAGAGAUUUUAUCGUUAGGGUCGCAGCGUCAGUCGAUGAAGACGUAUCACACAGCGUAGGGGCUCCAGUUUUUUUAACCGUGUUUACCAUCUGUAAAGAAUAUUUCAAUUCGAUUUCAUACCAAAUUCAUCGGAAAAAGAGAAUCAGAAAUAUGUUCAUAAAAUACGAAGGAACAGCAGAUUAUAAGCCUGAUUCAAAGCAAAAGAAGGUAUUAAAAACUGUGAAGAAAGGUGCAGUUAAAGUAUGGAAGUAUUGCAAGUCGGCUGUAGUAAAAUAUUUUGAUGAUAUGAUGAAACAAGAAUAUGUUAUCGUUAAGAACGGUAUUAUAUACAAGGAAGGUUGUGAUCCCAGAGUUAAAAAUUACUAUCAUUGAAAAGUAAUCGCUUAUUAUUUUUAUAAAAAAACAACAACAUGGUUCAUUAGCCUUACUCAGAUUACUAAAGAAAAUGUCUAAAUUAUCUGAUUUUUUUUAAUUAUUCAUUUCAUUUUAUUUUUUUAUUAGUAUAUUAUAUAACAUUAAAACUAUGAUUUUAUUAUGCUAGAUAAUAUUCUUUAACAAGUAACAUGGUACAAAAUAAUAUUACAUAAAUUGUAUUUUACUUUUACUUUUAAUAAAACAGUUAAUUAUUUUAUGUUUUAAAAA